RNAcentral lists this ribosomal RNA (160 nucleotides) under uncultured bacterium. RNAcentral describes it as "partial 16S ribosomal RNA". It matches the Rfam family "Bacterial small subunit ribosomal RNA", at positions 338 to 514 of the family's 1533-position model. The record is from RNAcentral.
CCUACGGGAGGCAGCAGUGGGGAAUAUUGCACAAUGGGGGAAACCCUGAUGCAGCGACGCCGCGUGGAGGAAGAAGGUCUUCGGAUUGUAAACUCCUGUUGUUGAGGAAGAUAAUGACGGUACUCAACAAGGAAGUGACGGCUAACUACGUGCCAAGCAG